UCUGUUUGCUUGUUUUGUUUUUUGUUUGUUCUUUUUGGGUUAAAUUAGAACUGGUGAGCCAGCUCCAACCUGGCAUUUCCAACUCGAAGUUCAUGGUUCUGUCUCCUCUCAGCUCCGUGCGCCAUCUUUGCCUGUUUCUUGGGUACUGAACCACGCUCAGCAGCAGGGCUGCCAGCCCUGAUUUCCUGGGUCAGUCAGGCAACAUAUCUGAAUUCUAAGAAAGCCACCUGGAGCAUAAUGACUUUCCUCUCAAGGUGAGACUGUGGCCAGCUAGUGAGAAAAUGUGAAUGAGGGCGAGGGGCAACUCUGGCCACCUUUUAGUCCCGUGGGCCAUGUAUAUUAGUCACAUAGGCUAGGUUUUGCUGCAAUUGCAGGUAACUCCACAACAGAACUUAUUUUUCAUCUGGGCUACGUGUCCACUGCAAUCCAGCCACAGCUCUGUUCCAUGCUUUCUUCUCUUGGGGACCAAGCCUGUUGGAUAAGGCACUAUCUGGAACAUGUUCUGGUCAUUGUGACAGCAAGAGAAAAGCCAGAGAACCACGUGCUAGCUCUUAAAACUUAUACUCCAAAGUGACACAUGUGACUUCUGCUCACAUUUCAUGGGCCAAAGCAAGUCAUUUGGCCAGAGCUGCAUAUAUCAGAAAGGAGGUGUCUAUUUCUCCUGCAGGGAGGGGCACUGAAUAUUUGGGACGGUCUUUUUCCAGGAAGAUACCAGCUCUGCCUAAAAUAUAGCAGUUGCAUGCGAUUUAGAAAUCUGACAAACAGGAUUGUCAGAAAAGAUCUGAAGGAAGCUGCCAUGUGGGGAAUUGUAAUUUUUUCCCCUAAAGAUUAUUUCAUGCUUGUUGGAUCCAUCAUAUUCUGAAAUCCUUUUGCUGUCCAACAAAUAUUGAUAAGUGGAGGCUAUUCAGUCACAUAGUUCUUAGGCAUAUCACGCCAUAGCUCCCUGACAUAUGCCUACUGGCUGCCUUAAUUUUCUCCCAAUUUGUAGCUCCAUGUUUCCCCAUCUUCCUCCCCACACCCCAUCUUUUUCUUUUUUUCUUUUUUUUUUUUUUUUUGCCCUUCUUCAUUUCUUCUCUGGUCUCCAAAACCCAGAUGACUGUGACUUUUCUGUGAUCACUUAAGAUUUUCAAGCUCCUCCCUCAAGAGGCUGGUAAUUUCCACUUGGAGCAUUUUCCUACUAUUUUGUCCAGCUAAGCAGUAGGUUCUUAGGAAAACUGUGUGUCUUGGAGAAUGAAUUUCCAUCAGAGCAGGAAUGAGACCAGCCUGGGAGGACGUCACAGAAGACUGGAAAGAUGAGAACUGAGGCAACAGGGAGCCGCUUGUCUGAACUCUCAUCUGGACUGGUGGAAGUCCAGGGUGCUGGCGGUGAGAGAACAAAGUAGACUCGGACUGCCCUGGAAAAUGCAGAACCCUGGGCACGUAGGACCAAAAGGGGAAUCAAGACUGAGACUGUCACUGAAGCAUAAAUUCAAAGAGAUGCAGAUGAGAGGAGGGGCCUGGUGGAAGAUGAAAGUCUGGAAAACUGUGAUGCCAGACAA
RNAcentral lists this long non-coding RNA (1538 nucleotides) under Homo sapiens (human). RNAcentral's name for it is "HSALNT0106026". Lineage: Eukaryota; Metazoa; Chordata; Mammalia; Primates; Hominidae. The record is from RNAcentral.